CCUACGGGAGGCAGCAGUGAGGAAUAGUGGUCAAUGGACGCAAGUCGGAACCAGCCAUGCCGCGUGCAGGAAGACGGCGCGAUGAGUUGUAAACUGCUGUUGGACGAGGGAAAACGCAGAUACGCGGAUCGGUCUGAAAGGAACGUACGAAUAAGGAGCGGCUAACUCCGUGCCAGCAGCCGCGGUAAUACGGAGGAUUCAAGCGUUAUCCUGAUUUAUUGGGUUUAAAGGGUGCGUAGGCGGUCGGAUAAGUUAGAGGUGAAAUCCCGCGGCUCAACUUCGGAAUUGCCUCUGAUAAUGGUCGGCUAGAGCGUAGUUGCGGUAUGCGGAAUGUCUGGUGUAGCGGU
RNAcentral lists this ribosomal RNA (347 nucleotides) under uncultured bacterium. RNAcentral describes it as "partial 16S ribosomal RNA". It matches the Rfam family "Bacterial small subunit ribosomal RNA", at positions 338 to 682 of the family's 1533-position model. The record is from RNAcentral.